UACGUAGGGUGCAAGCGUUGUCCGGAAUUAUUGGGCGUAAAGAGCUCGUAGGCGGUCUGUCGCGUCGGCUGUGAAAUCCCGAGGCUCAACCUCGGGUCUGCAGUCGAUACGGGCAAACUAGAGUAUUGCAGGGGAGACUGGAAUUCCUGGUGUAGCGGUGAAAUGCGCAGAUAUCAGGAGGAACACCGGUGGCGAAGGCGGAUCUCUGGGCCUUACCUGACGCUCAGGUGCGAAAGCUAGGGGAGCGAACAGG
Molecule: ribosomal RNA, 253 nt
Filed under: uncultured bacterium
Lineage: Bacteria
Description: partial 16S ribosomal RNA
Rfam family: Bacterial small subunit ribosomal RNA
Source: RNAcentral